GUAGGUGAACCUGCGGAAGGAUCAUUACCGAGUUUCUGCCCUCCGGGGUAAAUCUCCCACCCUGCGUACCCUACCCGUGUUGCUUUGGCGGGCCGACCGCCCUGGCCACCGGCAACUCGCUGGUGUGCGCCCGCCCGAGGCCCCCAAACCCUGUUUUUAAACGUGGUGUCCGAGUCCCAUACGAUAGUCAAAACUUUCAACAACGGAUCUCUUGGUUCUGGCAUCGAUGAAGAACGCAGCAUCUGACUGA
Molecule: unclassified non-coding RNA, 250 nt
Filed under: plant metagenome
Description: partial contains small subunit ribosomal RNA, internal transcribed spacer 1, and 5.8S ribosomal RNA
Source: RNAcentral